Molecule: long non-coding RNA, 23837 nt
Filed under: Triticum aestivum (bread wheat)
Lineage: Eukaryota; Viridiplantae; Streptophyta; Magnoliopsida; Poales; Poaceae
Description: long non-coding RNA (TAES_LNC010775)
Source: RNAcentral
UCAAAAAUUAUAAAUAGCUUAUUAUUAAUUUACUUGUAUGAACUGAAUCAGGUUUCACACAAACAAUAUAAGCAUUCACCUUCAUGCAAUAUUUCUAGUACAUAUAUAAACUCAUUUCAUGGUACUUCUCAGUUCUUUCUGCAGCAGCAUGUGCUACUACUGCCUUUAACACAACUGCUCUUAUCCUUGUCAUAACCUUGGUUAACACAGUUAGCUUUGCACGCAAUGUUGCCACUAGCUCGGUCUGGUGGCGAACAAUAGUCCACAGUUGUACACAGGUCAGUAUCUGUGCACAAAUCACAAUAGAGAUACCUCAAUCAACACAUAUAACUGACCAGGAAAAUAUAUAUUUGUGUAUCCAAAAACGAGUGAAGAGAUUAUGAAAGAAAGAAGAAAACCAUACCUAUGUAACGCCCUGCUGCAUGACAUGAGAAGACAGUGGUGGCCAUGGCUACAAGAGCUACCAAGCACAGGGCCUGUGUGUAGUUCCGGAUACUGGACAUGGGAGAUAGUUAGCUAUUCCUUUUCUGCUAAUGUUGUUCGUUGAUUUUGCCGAACUCAGGUUCUUUGCCUAGGUGCUUGUUUUUAUAUUGAGCGAAACUAGCAGGCUUGGAGCUUAACACGGAAGAAAAACUUGGAGGAAAUUUAUUUCUUUCCUCCUAUAGAUUUGUAGUAAAUAAAUGCCUCUUUGUACAAAGGCUUGCUAUAAUCUCCACAAUAAAUUCUUGCCAUUUAAUCAUAUUAUGUAUUAAUGCAUCGUUAUCUGCAUUGUGUUAAUGCUUCCUUAUCCUCAUUAAUAUAUGCUUGGUAUAUGAGCCUAUUAUACAUGUGGUUUACUUUAUCCCAUGGUAGUUCUGAUAUAUAGUGCCCUCACCCACACUCAUUGAUACAGAAAAAGUAGAGUUGUCCUCAUGAGUAGGGAUGAAAACAAAGCAAAAUGCACAAAACUUAGUCCUGCCACAUUAUGUUUGUAUUUCUAAAUGCAUAAAUGAAUAACAAAACCAAGCAAACGAAUAUACAAACAUAUCAUAUUGGAAAUAGAUACAUACCAAAUAUGCUAUCUACACAAAUAAAAAAGCUAUGGAUGGGUGGUUGACAUGGUGCCAUCAUGACAGCAAUCUGAUGUCCUUAAUACUUGGUUGCGCUAAUACGCCUACUCGUUUACUUGAUUUGGCAGUAGAACAAAUUAGGUUGAGUUCAUUCAUCACACGGGGUGCAAAAUAAGUUAUUCUUCACUCGAGAUAAUGUUACAUAAUUUCAUAAAUAAAUUAUAUUUGAAAUACAAGUCGUUACAUUCAUAUUGAUUCACCGCGUAAAAUGUGGCAUAAGAAAAAAAUAUAGGUCAUAAUACCAGAAACAUUGCAUUCUAUGUACAUUUUACACUAAGUUUUUACAUGUAUAUCUUACAUAACAUAACAUAUUUUUACGGCGAUUAUAUAUUUUCAUACAUUCUUUUUUUACAUCUGAAAUAAGACAAAAUUUAUGGAACAUAAAAGUACGGUGCAUUAAUAAAAUAGAGAGGGGUGAACAAUAACUAUUCCUCACCAAGGGUGACGAAUAUAUAAUUUUACGUUCUGACCACCACGCGCACCAACAAAUUAAACUAAACUGUCACGCGUGCCUACACCCACCGUAGAAGCGUCCACUUCAUUUGAUAGUCAAACAAUUACCAUGUAGUAAAUCUAAGCAACCCGAUCAUACAACAAUUAUUGUGUAGUAAAGUUUAAGAAAUAUUUCCUUCUAGUCGAUGUUAUUUCCAUAAACUUCUAAACCUCCUCCGGAGGCAAAAAGAACUACACUGCAAUAUUAGCAGAAAAAAUUGCAUGCCCUAUUUGGGUACUGCUUGCGAUGUUAAACCGUUCGUUGGAAGGAGGCGUGUAAUAUACCAUUGGAAAGCUAUGGAUUAGGCGCAACUGUGCCACAUUGAACACUUUUCUAUAUUCAUCACAGUUUAAAAGCAGUGUAAAAAAUGGUGCGGCACCCGAUGAGUUGUAGGGAGCGUAUUUUCGUGUUUUUUCCGAAUGGCUUGUUGGAAUUAUGCAAAUCAUAUAUUGUUGGAAAUAUAUCAUCGAGGCGCAACUUUUUAAUAUAUAAUACUCUCUCUAAUUCUUUACGGUCUAAGAGUAGUUUCAAAUUUACCAAAACACGAAAACUCUGUUUUUCAAAUUUUGUGAUUUUUCGUUCCGGUUUUUGCUGCAAUUUUUUAACCGCGUGACUUUUGGUUGUCUUUUUCAUACUUAUCUUUUCAAGCGCGUGGACCUACCGAGUGGACAGCAUGGACUGAGCGAGCGAAUCGCACUGCAUCGAGAAGUGAACCAAAUUAUUAUUUUUGUUGUUUUCCUAAUAUUUUCGCAUUUCACAUUGGAAACAAGUGAACAACAUCACUCUUGAAAGUGUACCACAUGGCAUAAACUAGUAAACUACAUCUGAAAAGAAGUGAGCUUCUCACGAUGUUUUUCUUUUUUCCUGUUUUACAAAGUGAACUACAGAAGAUGUUUACACUGAACCGCAUCCCAAGUAAUCUUUUUCUUGUCAAUACGGACUGUAUCCCACCAAGUUUGGAUUAUUUUUCUACUGCAUACGACAACCGAAUUUUGAGCAAUGAGCAAUGAACCAUGGUGGUUUCCCACAUUCUUUUGUCUUGUUUUAUAGGAGCGAACCACAUAGUUGUGGAAAACGAACUACACUUGUGUUUUCUAUUAGUUGGCCUGGAAUCUAAAUGAACCGCAUCAGUUCUUUUUGUCUUUUUAUAAUAAAAAAAUACAAAUAUAUAUGGACUUCGUGCUCAAACUUAGGAACUGCAAUUGUUUUUCAUGAUUAUGUACUAUGGGGAUCAUUUCUAUUUUUUUCACUUUUAGUAUUUUAUAUAGAGGGGAAGAAAAUGAACUGUAAUACUUCUUUUUUUUCUCACGGGUGUGUACUGUAAAAAUGGACCUAAAACAAAUAAUCAAGAUUACAAUCCGGUACUUUUGGACACGCCUUGGAUGUGACUACUCAUCACCAUCCUCAGUUGCCAUCGUGGCCGAACACCAUGCCCCCAACUAGACGUCUUAGCGCCGGUAAGUGCACUGUGUCAUGUCGGGAUUCGAACUACAAUGGUGUUGAACAUAGAGCUCGCUAGAAACCAAGCCGUUGUUUGUCGUUGUCUCUCAGUGUGCCCAUCAACUUCAUAGAGACGCACACUGAACCACAUCUCAAGCCCCCACUCCACCAGCAUGUACAAACCGCAUGCCACAUGAAUGCCAUCUUCACGCAAAUAGAGCUACAAUCAAAAUAAGAAGCACACUGUACUAAACAUUGCCCAAAUUAAAAAUAGCGAACUACAAAAAAAAUUAAGUUUUUUGGAAAAGGUGACGCACGUACUACACUUGGGUUUCCCUUCACACUGCAUUGUCCGGGGUGCCUUGACUGCAAGGGGAGGAGGGCAACUCAUCAAGUCAUACUACAUGGGCGUGCGAUGAUGAUCAGCGAACUACACGUGGCGCGCUACCGAGCUGCACGAAAAAAAGGGGAUGGAGGUCAGCAGGAUGGGGCGCUCGUCAAUCCAAGCUGAACAACACGGGAGGAGUAACCGAAUCGCCUACAAAUCCAACAUGAACCUCGCCGAAGUGGAGGUGGAGUUCCUGCUGUGGUUUUGCCACGACAAAUGUCCUUGUGAGAAGACUAAGUUGUGAAGCCAUCGCCGCUAGAAGGAAACUUGGAUGGGGUUGAUCGCAACAUGAUAAGACUUGAUUUUACCGAGGUUCGACCCCUCAUGGUGGAGGUGAAAGCCUACAUCCUGCUUGAUUGCUAUUCAUUGUCAUGGUCUCGAUUACAAGGGCGUUAUUUUCCUACCUUUGUCUCGAGAGCUAUCAGAACACGCAUCUGUCUCGAGACCUAUGAAAACAUCUCUCUCGAUAUUUAUCUAGAAACUCGUGCUUCUCAUGACCCAGGGACUCGCUUUAUAUCAUAGUUGAGUCCAUGGGGUUACAAGAGAUUCCAGGUUAUACCCACGGUUGAAGUCCUACUAUAAAUGCCCUAAAUCCUCCAUGUCUUCCAGGUCUGGCGUUUCCAUCUUGUAUUUGGACUCCUUGGUGGAAUUUCAUCUAAGUCCAGGUGAUAUAGCAUGCCGGGUCCUGUAGCAGGCCAGGUCAAGAUUGUAGCCAGGUCAAGAUUGUGGUCGGGUCAAGAUUGUAGUUGGGUCAUGAUUGUAACUAGCUGACUUAACUCCAUAAAUGACUUAACUCUAGAGAUAACUUAUCCUCAGAUCCUGGUCUAGCCACGGGUAACUCCCCCGACAGUUCCUCUCGCUCCCGCCUGCAUAGGGGUGCUGCAUGUUGGCCACGCAUUUUUGGAGGUAGCCUAGGAUCUGUGAUAGCUUGCACACGCGUCAGGAUCCACCAGAGAAGGGGGAACUGGAAAAGGUUGCUUGAGAAGGGACGUGAUAUUGGGCCGACGGUGGGAGGCCAAUACGUCUCCGACGUAUCUAUAAUUUUUUAUUGUUCCAUGCUAUUAUAUUAUAUGUUUUGGAUGUUUUAUAUGCAUUAAUAUGCUAUUUUAUAUUAUAUUUGGGACUAACUUAUUAACCCAGAGCCCAGUGCUAGUUUCUAUUUUUUCCUUGUUUUUGAGUUACAGAAAAGGAAUAUCAAACGGAGUCCAAACAGAAUAAAACUUUACGGUGAUUUUUCUUGGAUCAGAAGACAAACGUAGGACUUGAAGACCAAGGCAGAAGAGUCCUGAGGCAGCGGCAAGGGUGCAGGGCGCGCCCCAGGGGGGCUCCCCCUGCCUUGUGGGUCCCUCGAAGCUCCUCUAACCCUAAUCUUCUGCCUAUAAAUUUAGAAAUAUUCCAAACCAUCAGAGGCAUCCACAAAAAUACUUUUCCACCGCCACAAGCCUCUGUUCCCGUGAGACACAUCUUGGGGCCUUUUCCGGCAAUCUGCCGGAGGGGGAUUUGAUCACAGAGGGCAUCUACAUCAACCUUAUUGCCCUUCCGAUGAUGCGUGAGUAGUUUACCUUAGACCUACGGGUGUAGAGCUAGUAGCUAGAUGGCUUCUUCUCUCUCUAUGAUCUUCAAUACCAAGUUCUCCUCGAUGUUCUUGGAGUUCUAUCCGAUGUAAUAUUCUUUUCCGGUGUGUUUGUCGACAUCCAAUGAAUUAUGGAUUUAUGAUCAGAAUAUCUAUGAAUAUUAUUUGAAUCUUCUCUGAAUUCUUAUAUGCUUGAUUUGGUAUCUUUGUAUUUAUCUUCAAAUUAUCGGUUUGGUUUGGCCAACUAGAUUGGUAUUUCUUGCAAUGGGAGAGGUGCUUAGUUUUGGGUUCAAUCUUGCGGUGUCCACACCCAGUGACGUAGUAGGGGUAGCGAGGCAUGUAUUGUAUUGUUGCCGUCAAGGAUAAAAAUAGGGUUUUCAUAAUAUUGCUUGAGUUUAUUCGUCUACAUCAUGUCAUCUUACUUAAGGCAUUACGCCGUUCUUUAUGAACUUAAUACUCUAGAUGCAUGUUGGAUAGCGGUUGAUGCGUGGAGUAAUAGUAGUAGAUGCAGGCAGGAGUUGGUCUACUUGACACGGCGUGAUGCCUAUAUGCAUAAUCGCCUUGGAUAUCGUCAUAACUUUGCACGUUUCUAUCAAUUGCUCGAUAGUAAUUUGUUCACCCAUGGUAUGUUUUCUUUCAAUAGAGAAGCCUCUAGUGAAACCUAUGGCCCCCGGGGUCUAUUUUCCAUCAUAUAUUUUUGGAUCUAUAAACCAAAAAAACCCAAAAAUACCUUGCUGCAGUUUUUUUAUGUUUUAGUAAUCUUUUAUAUCUAUCUCUAUCAGAUCUCACCAUUGCAAUUGAUCAUGAAGGGAUUGACAACCCCUUUAUCACGUUGGGUGCAAGUGUUUGAUUUUUUGUGGAGGUGCAUAGAUUGGAGACUUGCUUGUACCUCCUACUGGAUUGAUACCUUGGUUCUCUAACUGAAGGAAAUACUUUUCUCUACUUUGGUGCCUCACCUUUCCUCUUCAAGGGAAAAACCAAUGCAAGCUCAAGAAGUAGCAUGAAGAAUUUCUGGCGCUGUUGCUGGGGAGGUUCGACAUCAAGCCUACCAAGUACCCAUCAUAAACUCUCAUCUCUUGCAUUACUUUAUUUGCCAUUUGCCUCUCGUCCCCCCCCCACUUCUAAAACAAUUUUUAGAAAACACCAAAAUAUUUUCCUUUUUUAUUCUCCCUUCUCUUGCUCGUCUUUUCAUUUACUUUUUGUUUGCUAGAAUUCCCGUAUGGCUCAACCCAAAAGCUUUGAUCCUUAUUUUAGGAAGUUGGAAGAGAUUGAAAGUAAUGCUAAAAGUUUCAUGACUUUACAAUAUGAGUAUAACAAUUUCUUUAGAAACGAGCUUAAAGAACAAAAAACUAUGAUGGGGUAUAUUAAUAAAGAUCUUGAUGACAUGUCUAAGGAAUUUUACGGUUUGAAAUCUCAGUUUUCUCAUUGAAAAUUUAGCAGGCAAAAUUUAUGAUAAACAUGCUACUUUAGCAAAUAAAUGGCCGCUAAACCGGAGCCUUUGAAUAAUGAUGAAGAUCUUAAAGUGAUUGAUGUGACUCCUAUUGAAUCUUUGUUUUCUAAUAUAAAUCUUGAUAAAGAUGGGACUGGAGAUGAGUCAACUUUAGCUAGAAGGCAUCCCAAUGAUUUGCAGUUCAUAGAUCUUGAUGCAAAAAUUGAUAAAAGUGGGAUUGGAGUGGUCAAAACUUUAAGUAGCAAUGAAUCCGCUCUUUUGGAUUUAAAGGACUUUAAUUAUGAUAAUUGUUCUUUGAUAGAUUGUAUUUCCUUGUUGCAAUCCAUGUUGACUUCUCCUCAUGCUCAUAAUCAAAAUAAAGCAUUUACUGAACAUAUUGUUGAUGCCAUGAUGAAAUCUUUUGAAGAAAAACUUGAGUUGGAAGUUUCUAUCCCUAGAAAGCUUUAUGAUGAUUGGGAACCUACUGUUAAGUUAAAAUUGAAGAUUAUGAGUGCCAUGCUUUGUGCGAUUUGGGUGCUAGAAUUUCCACCAUUCCAAAAACUCUAUGUGGUGUGUUAGGUUUCCGUGAAUUUGAUUAUUGUUUUUUAAAUUUGCAUCUGGUGGAUUCCACUAUUAAAAAACCUAUCGGAAGGAUUAAUGAUGUUCUUAUUGUUGCAAAUAGGGAGUAUGUGCCCGUAGAUUUCAUUGUUCUUGAUAUAGAUUGAAAUCCUACAUGUCCUAUUAUUCUUGGUAGACCUUUCCUUAGAACAAUUCGUGCAAUUAUUGAUAUGAAAGAAGGAAACAUUAGAUUUCAGUUUCCAUUAGGCAAACACUUUCUAAGAAAGAAAAUUAAGUUGCCAUAUGAGUGUAUUAUGAUAGCUACUUAUGGAUUGCAUACCAAAGAUAACAAUACCUAGAUCUAUUGCAAUAUGCCUAGCUAGGGGCGUUAAACAAUAGCACUUGUUGGGAGGCAACCCAAUUUUAUUUUUGUGUUUUUGUUUUGCUUCUGUUCUUGAAUAAAAUACACAUUAUUACCUCUAUAGUAAUUGUGUUUUGGUGUUUUUAAUUAGUGUUUGUGCCAAAUAAAGCCUUUGGGGUACUUUGGUAUAUCAUUGAUUUGAUCUUGCUGAAAAACAGAAACUUCUGCGCUCUUUGCCAGCAUUGUUAAAAAUCACAUAAGCGUGAUAAAAUCCUGAAGGUGGGGGGAGAUGGGCCGUAUCUGGUGGCUUCGGUGACAUGGGGCGAUAAGUAGCUGGGAGCAUGGGUGGACUGCGAGAGACAAAGAAGAUGGUGGGGAUUUGGGGUGCGGCUGCAAGGGUCUGUGAGGAGUGGGGNNNNNNNNNNNNNNNNNNNNNNNNNNNNNNNNNNNNNNNNNNNNNNNNNNNNNNNNNNNNNNNNNNNNNNNNNNNNNNNNNNNNNNNNNNNNNNNNNNNNNNNNNNNNNNNNNNNNNNNNNNNNNNNNNNNNNNNNNNNNNNNNNNNNNNNNNNNNNNNNNNNNNNNNNNNNNNNNNNNNNNNNNNNNNNNNNNNNNNNNNNNNNNNNNNNNNNNNNNNNNNNNNNNNNNNNNNNNNNNNNNNNNNNNNNNNNNNNNNNNNNNNNNNNNNNNNNNNNNNNNNNNNNNNNNNNNNNAGAAUAGACCUACCCUAUAUAUGGCUUGUUCCUUAUAACGACUACAAUCAGGGAUAUUCUAUGGCUUUUUCCAUAGUGGUGUGAGAAUUCCAAUCUUCUUGAUUAAUUUCUCAUUAUUUGACGUGAUAAUAAUGAUUUAUUUUUGUGUGUCGUGGCAUUAAAAUGACUUUAGCGACGUAAUGGAAAAUAGAUACUAAAUAAACAAUUAUCAUUAGCUUAUUAUUAAUUUAUUUGUAUGAACUAAAUCAGGUUUCACAGAAACAAUAUAAGCAUUCACCUCCAGGCAAUAUUUCUAGUACAUAUAUAAACUCAUUUCAUGGUACUUCUCAGCUCUUUCGGCAGCAACAUGUGCUACUACUGCCUUCCAUGCAACUGCUCUUAUCCUUGUCAUAACCUCGGUUAACACAGUUAGCUUUGCACGCAAUGUUGCCACUAGCUCGGUCUGGUGGCGAACAAUUGUCCAUAGUUGUACACAAGUCAGUAUCUGUGCACAAAUCACAAUAGAGAUACCUCAAUAAACACAUAUAACCCACCAGGAAAAUAUAUGUUUGUGUAUCCAAAUACGAGUGAAGAGAUUGUGAAAGAAAUAAGAAAACCAUACCUACAUAAUGCCCUGCUGCAUGACAUGAGAAGACAGUGGUGGCCAUGGCUACAAGAGCUACCAAGCAUAGGGCCUAUGUGUAGUUUCGCAUAUCGGCCAUGGGAGAUAGUUAGAUAUUCCUUUUCUGCUAAUGUUGUUCGUUGAUUUUGCUGAAUUCAUGUUAUUUGCCUAGGUGCUUGUGUUUAUAUUGAGGGAAAGCUAACAGUCUUGGAUCUUAGUACAGAAGAAAAACUUGGAGUAAAUUUAUUUCUUUCCUCCUAUAGUUUUGAAGUAAAUAAAUGCCUCUUUGUACAAAGGCUUGCUAUAAUCUCCACAAUAAAUUAUUGCCAUUUAAUCAUAUUAUGUAUUAAUGCAUCCUUAUCUGCAUUGUGUUAAUGCUGCCUUAUCCUCAUUAAUACAUGCUUGGUAUAUGAGCCUAUUAUACAUGUGGUUUAAUUUAUCGCAUGGUAGUUCUGAUUUACAGUGCCCUCACCCACAGUCAUUGAUACAGAAAAAGUAGUGUUGUCCUCACGAGUAGGGAUGAAAAGAAAUCAAAAAUGCACGAAACUAAGUGUUGCCACAUUAUUCUUUAUUUUUUCUGAAUGCAUAAUUGAAUAUAAAAACUAAGCAAAUGAAUAUAGAAACAUAUCGUAUUGGAAAUAGAUACAUACCAAAUAAGAUAUCUACACAAAUACAAAAGCUAUGGAUGGGUGAUUGACACAGUGCCAUCAGGACAGUAGUCUGGUGUCCCUAACACUUGGUUGCGCUAAUAGGCUACUCGAUUACUUGAUUUAGCAGUAGAACAUAUUAGGUUGAGUUUCUUUCAUAGAGAUUGACAAGGGCCUGCAUGACAAGGCCUAAUGGAGCCGUAAUGUCCACACUAUGAUGGAAAGUUUUUUAUUUGGGGAAGGAUAAAUUCCAUUUCCAUAUCCAUUCCACCAAAAAUUUAUGUUCUAUCCACUUAAAGAUUUAUGUUUUUGUUUCCUUAUUUGUGGAAAACAUAAAUAUUGAACAUUUAAGUGUCGAUUUCAUUCCUACUACUGAGAGUGCGCGUGUAUGAUGGGAUAGAAAUUUUUGGUAUUUUUUCUGAUCAAUACAAAACACUUAAUGAAGUUUCACGUUGUCGGGGAAACUGAUCCUCGAACACCUAUGGGGCCGGCGGACCGGGCCCCUUUCGAUUCGGCGGGGGGCGGAGAUCGCACGAAGAGCAGAUCGAGGCGAGGCACACGAGCAGUUUACCCAGCUUCGGAGCUCUCUGGAGAGAUAACACUCCUACUGCUGCUUGUCUGGUUGUAUUAUCUGGUGUUCUUGCUCUCCAAAGCGAGAGUGUGAUGUUCUCUGGGCUACGGAUGGAUCGAAGCAAACUACCUGGGGCCCCGAACCUCUGAGCCAAACCCCCUCUACGUUGCACAUGGGCCUCCUUUUAUACGCUAAAGGGGUCACCGACAGGUGGCAAUGCAGAGGAGGGUAAAAACGUAAAAAGCGAGGUAGUUGAUACAGUUGCUUGUACAGUGCACCCUACCUAACCCCGACGACAGGGGACAAGGGCAUUAAAUGCCUGUCUGAGUCGCCCGAACAAUGCAGAAAAGGACCGUUAGGGGCGCCACCAUUCACCACGAUGGCGAUCUUGUCAGCUUCGCAUGCCACUGCACACCGCUGGCUGCAUAGCCUCUCGCCACGCACGCCCGGAGAGGCCCCUAGAGCGACACGUUGGUGGAUGCGCUGGAGCAUGGACGCAGAGUGGCCUCCUGCCGCGGCAAGCGCCUUGCCGCUGUUGUUAUCUUGUCGGGUCCGGAAGCUUGUCGCUCACCGGGCUUCGAGGUACCUUGGUUUGUCUUCCCGGCAAGCUCCUCUUGCCGGGGCCUUGUCGCCUUGCCGGAGCGCGUGGCGCGUCGCGGCAAGUUCAUUGGAGUGUCUUCGUUGGCCUUCCCGGCAAGCUCCUCUUGCCGGGGCCUUGUCUCCUUAGCUUAAAUACUUUGUUCUUAGAUGGCUCCAAGGGAACCUUGGGGGAUCUUGGCGAUCACCCGGCAAGCCUUUGCCGCGGGGUGCUGCAACUGCCCGUGCACAAGUUCGGGGUACUAGGGUACCCCCAAUCUAGUACACCGACAGGAGCCCCCAGGCCUGGGCCAGACACGGUGCCGAGCGCUGUUGGUCCAGGCCAAGGACAGGGCACGGGCACACGCGGGCUGGGCCACGCCAAAUCUUGUUCCGUAUCCACCGCACUCUCCCAUAACGGCAUGCGUUGAUUGCGGCAUCGUGGGAGAGAUCGUGGGUGGUUGUUUAAGCGGAAGGCCGAAACGUCCGCCCGUCCCUCUUUAUAAGCAGAGGAAACAGGGGCAGUUCGUUCCCCCUCGCUGCUUGCUGCUACUCCUUCUUCACAAACUCCGCCGCUCCCCUGAAGCCGAGUCGAGCGAGGCCGGCGAGGAGGAGGCUGAACCUUCAGAGAGCUUGCCACAGGCGGAGCCCCCGACCCCGCCAAGGAGGUGCCUUCGCAGGGCCGGGGACGCAGCAGGGCGGCAGCCGGCUCCACAGCCACCGAGCCGCGCGACGCGCUCUACCGCGGCAAGUAAUGUUGCCGCGGGACCGCCUCACGCAACAGCGGCAACUGGAGCGGGAUCUUCCCGGGCCACCGCCACCGCCCCGCCCAAGCGGGCAAGGGAUCCUACUCCUCCACCUCGCCGCACCGGAGGAGGGCCGGACUUCGAUCUUUCCGCGCUCAGCUCCGAUGAGGAGGAAGAAGAGUGAGUUUCUUCGGCGCCCUUAUAAUCCUUCAAUCUUGCUGUUUAUAUCUUGUAUCUGACUUGCUCCAAUAUGGACUAUUUUCUUUUCAGAACAUUGGCCCAGAGAGCGGCGAAGAGGGCCAAGGCCGCGGUGAUCGUCAUCGAGGAUGACCCCAUCGCGUCGGCAGGAGGUGGGUCCGAGAUCACCUUUACGGACCUGGCAAUCACCCCUCGUAGCAGCCCCCAGCGCAGCCCCCAGCGUAAGUUCAUAGUUUAGCCUUCUGCUGUCGAGCGCGCUUGAGUGUUUUUUCUUUGUUGAUAUCUUGCUUGUUGACUUGUGCAGGAGCAGAGCAGCCUCAUCAGGAGCGCCCGGAGGCCGGUCCCGAAGUGCCACCUGCUUCGACUGCGCCGCCAAGGGAGGAGUCCCCGGCAAGGGAGCGCUCUCCGGCAAGGGAGGACUCUCCGGCAAGGGACGGCACUGCUGAUCCUGCAGCGACCGAGGCCGCAACUAAAGAUCUUGGCGCAGGUAAUCCACUUGCCCAAAAACUUUCCCUUGGGUUCUGCUUCUUCUGUUUUUCUUUCCUUGAAUUUUUGAUUGAUUUUCCUCCCUUCUUCGUUCUUCAGACCCAUCUUCGGCUGAGCCAAUGGAGACAGAGGGCGCCGGCGAGGAAGGUGCCGGGGCUGAUGAGACCGCCGGCGAGGAGGCCGCCGGGGCUGCUGCUGCGGGAGCCGGCGAGGGAUCAGGCGAUCGCACUGACGACCCCGAGGCCGCAGGAGCGCCGGGCGCUGCAUCGACCGCCGAACCCUCUGCCGCUUCCGCAGAGCCGGGCUCCGAGGAGCCCCAGCCCGGCGCCUACUUGCAGUCCGGUGACAACAUCUUCAUCAAGCUACCCUGGGCGUCGAGCUCCAGGGCGCCAGUCGAGGGGGAGACUUUCGACGGGGAGGUGCUCGCCUCUGCUGGGCUAUCAUUGGUUGACGCGCCCGGCAGCAGCAGCGGCGAGCCUGAGGAGGAGCAGUUGCUGCAGAAGCUGCUGUCACUCUACCGCACCCGGCAAGCCAAGCUGGCUUCCCGGGAAGCGCUUGUCGCGAAGGCGGGAGUUGACAUGGAGAAGCGCGCGGAGGAGCUUCGGGGACAAAAUCAAGAAGCUCUUCGAUCCCUGGAGCAGGAGCGGGAGCGAGUAGACGAGGAGCGCACGACCUUUCUUCUUGAGAAGGCCGAGGCUGAGGAGGAACAAAGGCUUGCUGCCGAGAAGCAGUCCGCGCGGGAAGGCGAGCUAGUGCAGCGGAAGGCCUACCUUGACAGCUACGAGGAAGAGCUCGCCGAGCGCGAGCGAGCACUUGGCGGGGCGCUCAAGGAGGCAAAGGAUGCCGCGGCAACUGCAGAGGCCGCCAAUAAGGAUCUAGAGGAGAAGGUGGCGCGGCUGGAGGCCGAAAUUGGGAAGAGUGGUGAGGAGAUUGCCGGUCUCAAGCGUGAGCGCGAGAAGGAUGCUGCCGCCCAUGGUGAACUGCAAGGCCUUCUCGCUGAGAGGGGCAAGGAGCUCAGCACCGCCAAGGAUUCCAAAGCAGACCUGGAGCUAAAGUUGGCCACACUGACGCAGACGCUAGAGGCCGCCAAGGAGCGGGAGAAGACCUUGGCGGAGAAGGUCAAGGCCGACGCUGCGCUGCUGGAGAGCAUUGCAGUCACCCAGAACUCCUUCAGAGACACAGUGGAGCACUGGACCGAGGGUCUGGUGAACACUGCCGCCAUCAUCAACGAGGAGCUGGCGCAGCUGGGGAUGGAGGACUUUGGGUAUCCUUCCGACGAGAGCCUUCAGCCCAGCGCCAAGCUCAGCCUAUUCUUCAAGGGCGUGGCGACGGCACUCCAGCGACUCCGGGAAAGGAUCCCGAAGCAGCUGGCCGACGAGUCAUGCAAAAUCUGUGCUGGGGUUCUCUAGAAGGUGCUGAUGAAAGUAGCCUUCCGCAAUCCAGGCCUCAGCUUCACCAACGUCCUCCGAUCCUUGCCGCCUGACGCCGAUUUGGAUGCACUCAAGGCCCUUGUCGCACCCAUUGUGGACAAGGUGAGCGAGAUCAAGCGAGUCGAGGGCGGACGCGUAGAUUAGGCCACCCAUUUCUUCUUUUCCCUUGUCGCUGCUAGUCAUGUCAUGAAAACAGUCUAUUAGAGCUGCGACAAGUUAUCUUUGUAAUAUAACUUUAUUUCUGUCUAUCAAUUGCAAUGUUAUUUCCUCUACUGGAUUCCUUCCUUUGUAUGUUUUCACCCUACGCUUCUAGGGAACUUGUCGGCGCAGGCGCCCGAACCACGAGCGCUGAGUGCGGAACUUCAGCAGCCUGCUGGCGGCGCUGCUUCCGACAAGAAACCUUGCCGCGACUAGAUGCAGCACGCUUAAGUUGUCGAGCGGACUCGAAACAAAGUAAGGGCGCAACUAGCCACAAGUUGGUUCCUCCGCGCACAGGUUUUCCAUACAAGGCCGGGUCGUUCGAGGAAGAUAACUCAAAAAAUUAAAAAAGUGAUUGCUCAAACUUUGGCAACUUAGCUUUUCUGUCAUUUGCUUCCCGGUAAGGUGAGUCUUUGCUUGAACGUCGCCUGGCCCACACCACAAUCUUCUCCUUCCCCCCGGCAAACUUGUGUGCGAGAGAACCUUCUUUUCCUUAAAAAGGAAAAGAAAGAAGAGAAAAUAAUAGUAUAGAGCACUUCGGCUCGUUACUGCUUACCGGAUGUAAGUGCUGCACAAAGUGUCAAAUAAUCACAUGCAAGAAAGGAACUAACGCAUGAAAUGGACAAGCUGUGCGGAGCACAUGGGUUUUUACUUAUGCACGGGAUCUGCGCCCGGCUUUGUACAAAGGAUUACAUGCAACAGCGGCAAGACUUGUACAAAAGGUGGUUGCCGGAACGGGUCCCGGCAACCGCGCCUUAUGGGAAAAACUUACGAAGAUGUUCUAUGUUCCAGGAGCUGCUCGCUGGAAUGCCAUCUUCGAUCUCAAGGCGGACAACGCCAGGCCUUGUGACUCGUCUCACCCGAUAAGGGCCUUCCCACUUCGGCGUCAACUUGUUGGAAUUCUUGGCAGACUGAACGCGCCGAAGAACAAGGUCGCCUUCCUCGAAGCUUCUGGCUUUAACUUUGCGGCUAUGAUAGCGGCGCAAAGCUUGCUAGUAUCGAGCAGCUCGUAUAGCAGCCUGAAGACGAUCUUCCUCAAGGAGCAGCGCGUCGUCUUGCCGCAGCUGUUCUUGCUCAAGCUCAUCAUAAGCAAGCACUCGAGGUGAUCCGUAUACGAGUUCCGUGGGGAGAACUGCCUCUGCUCCAUAGACUAGAGCGAAACGUGUCUGGCCAGUGGCUCGAUUUGGUGUUGUUCUAUUGACCAAAGAACCACUAGUAGCUCCUCGAUCCAGUUCUUUCCGCACCUGUGCAGCCUGUCGAAAGUUCUGGUCUUGAGCCCGCGCAACACUUCAGCAUUUGCCCUUUCUACUUGACCGUUGCUUCUCGGAUGAGCAACAGAAGCGAAGCAGACCUUGGCGCCAAGGUCUUGGACGUACUGCAUGAAGGUGCGGCUCGUGAAUUGCGUACCGUUGUCGGUGAUGAUCCUGUUAGGGAUCCCGAAACGGCAAACAAUUGACCUGAAGAACUUGACUGCUGACUGUGCUAUCACCUUCCUCACUGGCUGCACUUCCGGCCACUUUGUGAACUUGUCGACUGCGACGUACAAGUACUCAAAGCCCCCGACAGCUCGGGGAAAGGGGCCGAGGAUGUCGAGCCCCCAGACCAAAAAUGGCCAGGAUAAAGGGAUUGUCUGGAGAGCUUGAGCUGGAUGGUGUAUCUGUUUGGAGUGGAACUGGCACACUUCACACUUGGUUACUUGUGCAGUUGCAUCCUGGAGGGCUGUCGGCCAAAAGAAACCUUGCCGGAAAGCUUUGCCGGCAAGUGCUCUUGCGCCUAUGUGGUGGCCACAUAUGCCUCCAUGUAUCUCUGCCAACAGCUUCUGUCCAUCUUCCCGGCGAAUACACUUCAAUUUCACACCGUUGAGUCCUCUUCUGUACAGUAUGCUAUCGACAAACUGGUACAUACUUGACUGCCGGGCUACUCUCUCUGCUUCUUCUUGUUCUUCGGGAAGUUCUCCUGUCUGAAGGAAAUGGACAAUCUGCUGUGCCCAUGCUGGAGCCUGUGGCUCGACAACAAGGACUAAAGGCACAUCUUCUGCUGCGGGAACAUCUGCUUCUACGGCAGGGACUUGCGGUCCUGCCGGAGCUUGAUGUUCCCCGACAAGCUUGCCGGAGCAAAACUUGUCGGGAGCGUCUGCUUCAACGGAACAAACCAUAAGGCUUGCCGGAGCAGACUACCCCUCAGCAUCUGUGGUGUUGAUCUUGGGGACUUUCUUGGCGGCGGCUUCGGGGAGCUCUGCCGGAAAGUAGUCACCAGAAACCAACUUCCUCUUUUUGCUUUGUCCAGUUGAUGGUGUUACGGAUGGUUGAGUCAACUUAAGCAUAAAGAUCCCUGGUUCCACAGGUAACUUUAGUGCGGCGCACUUUGACAAGCUGUCAGCAAUAUCAUUCUGAGCUCUUGGGAUAUGCUCCAUUUGUAGGCCGUCAAAGUGCUCCUCUAGCUUCCUCACUUCAUCGACAUACGCUUCCAUCAACGGACUCUGGUAGUUCUUGUUCACUUGUCGGACGACAAGCUGUGAGUCACCCCUGACAAUGAGCUUCUUAAUCCCAAGGUCUGCUGCGAUUCUGAGACCGGCAAUCAAUCCUUCAUACUCUACAGUAUUGUUGGUUGCUUGCUCUUUGGGAAAGUGCAUAUGGACUACGUACUUGAGGUGCUCUCCAGUGGGUGCGACAAGCAGCACACCUGCACCGGCGCCUUGCAGCGAGAAGGCUCCAUCAAAGUACAUCAGCCACUCUUUGCUUGCCUCUUUGACGGGGAUGCUCGUUUCUGGAAUUUCUUCAUCUGGGGUUGGCGUCCACUCUGCUAUGAACUCUGCCAAUGCUCUGCUUUGGAUAGUUGAGAUGCUCUCAAACUUGAGGCCAAAGCUUGACAGUUCCAGCGCCCACUCGACAAUCCUGCCUGUUGCUUCUGGAUUUUGCAGUAUCCUCUUUAGCGGAAAGCGAGUGACGACUGUGAUCUCAUGUGCUUGGAAGUAAUGGCGCAGCUUUCUCGAGGCCAUAAGGAGGCCGAAAAGCAACUUCUGUACACCAGAGUACCUUGAUCUAGCCCCCUGCAGAAGAGAACUGACAAAGUAAACUGGGCGCUGCACCAUUCUCCUUGGCAUCUUAUCAUGCUCCUGCGCAAACUCAUGUUUGUCGGGGCCAGAGCUUGUCGGUGAAGCCCCCUGUUUGUCGCUGGAUGGAUCUGCCGUGGUUGCUGGCUCAUCAUCUGCCUCCCUCUCCGCCACUAACGCAGCACUAACUACUUGAUUGGUUGCUGCUAUAUACAGCAGCAACUUCUCUCGCGGCUUAGGUGCGACAAGCGUUGGAGUGGAGGACAGGUAUCUCUUCAAGUCCUGCAGCGCAGCCUCCACUUCCGGAGUCCAUUUCAUUGGACCCGCCUUUUUCAAAAUUUUGAAAAAUGGCAGGGCGCGCUCAGCAGAUCUAGAGAUAAACCUGCUGAGAGCAGCCACGCAGCCGGCAAGCCUUCGUACAUCCUUGACGCACUUUGGUGCUUCGAUCUGCUCGAUGGCUUUGAUCUUGUCGGGGUUAAGCUUGAGGUUGAUCUUGCGCAGGUUUGCAAAUGUCUCAUCUAAAUAUUGAAUCAAGGUCGCUUUGUCCUUGCUCUUGACCACUAUGUCAUCCAUGUAAGCUUCCACAUUUCUGUGUAUUUGUGGCUCAAAAGCAUGGUGAACUACCCUUGCGAAUGUUGAACCGGCAUUCUUCAAACCGAAAGGCAUCCGUACGAAGCAGUAUGUGCCACACGGGGUGAUAAAUGCGGUUUUCUCUUCAUCUUCUUCUGCCAUGAAGAUCUGAUGGUAUCCUGAGUAUGCAUCAAGAAAUGAAAGCAAAUCACAUCCGGCUGUGGAGUCAACAAUCUGGUCAAUACGCGGCAAGGGAAAUGGGUCUUUGGGACAAGCUUUAUUAACAUCAGUGAAGUCAAUACAAAGUCUCCAUUUCCCGUUAGCUUUGCGCACAACAACAGGAUUGGCCAACCACGUGGGAUGGAGUACUCAUCUGACAAGGCCUGCUGCUUCCAACUUCUUGAUUUCUUCUGCGAUAAAUUUUGGCGCUCUACUGCCUGCUUCCUGACUCUCUGCUUGACGGGCCACACAUGAGGACAGACGGCAAGGUGGUGCUCAAUCACUUUCCUGGGAACACCGGGGAUAUCAGACGGUUGCCACGCAAACACGUCGAUAUUCGCCCGCAGGAAAGCAACAAGCGCGCGGGUCAAGAGUGGCGCUGAUGGUGAAGGUACCACCAGUGCCAUCCUCCUUGGCAGACACCUUCUUGGUCUCAGGUGGAGCUGCCAUUGCCUUCUUGCACUUGCCGGUGGAGCUCGAUGGUGCGUCCUCGACGGUAGCGCAGCACUCUGAAGAGGUGCGCUUGCCGGAGUGGGCAUCAGAGCUCUUGCCGGACUUGGUCUUCUUCUUCUCCCCGGGAGCUUCAGCGGCAAGUGCCCUUCGUUCUGCUGCGGCUGCUGCUUCCCGGUAGAUCUUGUCGGCACAGAUAAGAGCAUCCUUCUUGUCGCCAGGGACAGAGAUGACACUUAUUGGGCCUGGCAUUUUCAGUACGUUGUACGCAUAGUGAGAGGCUUCCAUGAACUUGGCGAGUGCCGGACGACCAAGGAUUCCAUUGUAAGGUAAUGGAAAGUCGGCAACGUCAAACGUGACCCUCUCAGUCCUGAAGUUCAGCUCAUUGCCAAAUGUUACCGGCAACGUGAUCUUUCCCUUUGGCUUGCUCCUUCCCGGGUUGAUUCCUUGAAAUGUGCCGGUCUCUUCGAGCUCGCUGUCAGGGAUCUGGAGCUUCUGGAGCACCAUGGACGAGAUCAAGUUCAAACCGGCCCCGCCGUCAACUAGCAUCUUAGUGACCUUGAGGUUGCGGAUUGUUGGUGAAACCAACAUCGGCAAGCACCCGACCGCAGUUAUGCGAUCCGGGUGGUCCUCAAUAUCAAAGAUGAUAGGCGUGCUGGACCAUUUCAGAGGCUUGCGUGACUCGACGGGCGGUUCUGCUGCAUUAACUACCCGCAUCCACUGCCUGAGCUGGCGGUGCGAGGCAUGCAGAGAAGCACCACCGUCAACGCACAGGACCUCUGUAGCUUUCUGGAACUCCUGCUCAUCAGUCUCCUCAUCAUCCAUAUAUUCAUCGUCACCGUCAUCUUCAUCCUUGUCGCGGCCGCGAGGAGGUCUGUCACCUUGCCGCUGCUUGGCCUUGCUGCGGCGUCCUCCUCGGCCGGGACGUUUCUUGCCGGAUCCACCAGCUCCUUCCUGGGCUUUCUCCUUGUCGCGCCGCUCGUAUUCAGCUUUUUGUUGCUCAACAAGCUGCUCGACCCUCUUGCAGUUCUGAAGAUCAUGGCCCUUGGUGCGGUGAAUCUUGCAAUACUGCUUGUUGGUGCCGUCCUGCUUGUCGGCGACCGCCACCUCUGCGGCAACCUCCUUGCCGGAGUCACCAGCUUUGGCUUCCUUGGCACCGCCACUGUUGCCGGACUGCUCAACAACUAGCACUUCUUUGCCUUUCCUCCUUUUGUUGUUCCGCCGCCGGGUUUUCCUUGUUAGGGCGGCAUCACUGUCAGAUCCUCCCGCUCCUAUAUUUUCUCCGGGGAGUCUCCUACCUUCCUCAGCACGCGCGCACUUGUCGGCCAGUGCAUAUAACUCACUGACGUCCCUGAUCUUGCACAUCGCCAUUUCCUCCCGCAUCCUGCGGUUCCACACGUUCUGAUGGAACGCGCUGAUCACCACGGCAGGGUGGACAUCUGGGAUGUUGUGCUGCACGCUACUGAAUCUCUGAAUGUACUUGCGCAGGGGCUCUCCUUCCUUCUGGGCGAGCAAAUGAAGAUCACUCUCCUGGCCAUGAGGCUUGUGUCCGCCGGUAAAGGCGCCGACAAACUGAUGGCACAGAUCAGCCCAAGAGGAUAUGGAGUUGUCCGGCAAGUGCAUGAGCCAGGACCUGACAUUGGGCUUGAGUACCAGCGGGAAGUAGUUGGCAAGGAUCUUGUCAUCUCAUCCCCCGGCAGCUUGCACCGCAAUGGUGUAGAUGCUGAGGAACUCUGACGGAUGCGUCUUGCCAUCAUACUUCUCCGGUAUGUCUGGCUUGAAGUUCUUUGUACUGGGCCACUGGACUUGCCGCAGCUCACGAGUGAACGCAGGACAACCUACCUCAUACGGUAGAUCGCCUGGUUCCCCUGGCGCAUGCAUGUCAACAGAGGGCCCAGCGCGCUUGUCGGAUUGACGUCGCGCUUCUCUUCGGCGCUCGAUGCGGGUUCGAGCAUCUUCUUGUUGUCGAUCAUGAAGAACUUGGCGCUGAUCACGACGAGCUCGUGGAUCCGACGAUGCAGUGGAGUCGCUGUCGAGGUGGAUCCGACGAGUCGGCGAUCUUGGCCUUCGGGGCGGUGAUUUCAUGGUAGUUGCACCUUCGCCCGUUUCGUCGCCACCGGCUCGCGUCCGGCGGUCCUGCCGCGGCGGCGAUGCGCUCGGCCGCCGUGGAGUGUCGCCGUUGGCGUAGCCGAUGAGACUCUGAAUGGUGGCUCUCCAUUCGUCGAUCUUGUCUGACGUCGGAGGGUAAUCUAGGAGAAGUUGAGCUCGCGCCAAAGCUUCUGCUGGGGUAGUGGGUGGUAGUGGCGGACGGCGCGAGGAGCGGGACGUGCUCGAACUUCUAACUAUGUUAGAAGGAGCAGUAUCCCGUCUAGGCGACCGUGCCCCGCUCGUACCAGCGCGCUGGCGUGCAUAUUGGUCUUGAGCGCUCCGAGAUCCACCAGAUUGGUCUUGGGCUAUCAUGCGUAUGGCAUUGCUAGCGCCAUGACGCUGUUGAUCUUGCGCCUCCUGAGAGUGGCGUGGAACAUGUACAGUCGCCGAGGUUUGUGCAGCCUUGUUCUUGGACCUGGCGGCAUCAUGGACUUCCUCGUCGACGUCCUUUCUUCCGCCGGCGUCCAUCCCAGCACUCGUUUGCUCCAACGGUGGCGGAAGUGACGUGGAUAGAGCGGCUGCCGCCGAAGUCUUCUUCUUCGGUGGCAUGUUGAUGAAGGGAAUAAGGAUCUAGCUCGUGUGAACACCGGAUCAGGUUCACGCAAUCUCGACGUUCCCUACCUGGCGCGCCAGAGAUGUCGGGGAAAAUGAUCCUCGAACACCUAUGGGGCCGGUGGACCGGGCCCCUUUCGGUUCGGCGGGGGGCGGAGAUCACACGAAGAGCAGAUCGAGGCGAGGCACACGAGCAGUUUACCCAGCUUCGGAGCUCUCCGGAGAGAUAACACUCCUACUGCUGCUUGUCUGGUUGUAUUAUUUGGUGUUCUUGCUCUCCAAAGCGAGAGUGUGAUGUUCUCUGGGCUACGGAUGGAUCGAAGCAAACUACCUGGGGCCCCGAACCUCUGAGCCGAACCCCCUCUACGUUGCACAUGGGCCUCCUUUUAUACGCUAAAGGGGUCACCGACAGGUGGCAACGCAGAGGAGGGUAAAAACAUAAAAAGCGAGGUAGUUGAUACAGUUGCUUGUACAGUGCACCCUACCUAACCCCGACGGCAGGGGACAAGGGCAUUAAAUGCCCGUCUGAGUCACCCGAACAGUGUAGAAAAGGACCGUUAGGGGCGCCACCGUUCGCCACGAUGGCGAUCUUGUCAGCUUCGCAUGCCACUGCGCACCGCUGGCUGCACAGCCUCUUGCCACGCACGCCCGGAGAGGCCCCCAGAGCGACACGUUGGUGGAUGCGCUGGAGCGUGGACGCAGAGUGGCCGCCUGCCGUGGCAAGCGCCUUGCCGCUGUUGUUAUCUUGUCGGGUCCGGAAGCUUGUCGCUCACCGGGCUUCGAGGUACCUUGGUUUGUCUUCCCGGCAAGCUCCUCUUGCCGGGGCCUUGUCGCCUUGCCGGAGCGCGUGGCGCGUCGCGGCAAGUUCAUUGGAGCGUCUUGGUUGGCCUUCCCGGCAAGCUCCUCUUGCCGGGGCCUUGUCUCCUUAGCUUAAAUACUUUGUUCUUAGAUGGCUCCAAGGGAACCUUGGGGGAUCUUGGCGAUCACCCGGCAAGCCUUUGCCGCGGGGUGCUGCAACUGCCCGUGCACAAGUUCGGGGUACUAGGGUACCCCCAAUCUAGUACACCGACACACAUCAUCACAAUGGAAAGGGGUAAUAGUUAUGAAAAUCUUACAUGGGUAAUAGUUAUGAAAAAUCCAGUUCAUAGGUUCAUCAUGGUCCAGUAACAUGACCUCCAGAAUAGGAUUACCGUACCACUCUGGUGUGGAUCUUACUCUGGUUAACCUACGAGUUUUGGUAGUAACUUGAUCAGAAAUUUCAUGAUCAUCAUCAUUAGCUUCCUCACUUACUGGUGUAGGAAUCAUUGGAACUGAUUUCAGUGAUGAACUACUUUCCAAUAAAGGAGCAGGUACAAUUACCUCAUCAAGUUCUACUUUCCUCCCACUCACUUCUUUCGAGAGAAACUGCUUCUCUAGAAAGGAUCCAUUCUUAGCAACGACUAUCUUGCCUUCGGAUCUGUGAUAGAAGGUGUACCCAAUAGUCUCCUUUGGGUUUUCUUUGAAGACACAUUUCUCCGAUUUGGGUUCGAGCUUAUCAGGAUGAAGAUUUUUUCACAUAAGCAUUGCAGCCCCAAACUUUAAGAAACGACAACUUGGGUUUCUUGCCAAACCACGGUUCAUAAGGUGUCGUCUCAACAGAUUUAGAUGGUGCCCUAUUUAACGUGAAUGCAGUUGUCUCUAAAGCAUAACCCCAAAAUGGUAGUGGUAAAUCAGUAAGAGACAUCGUAGAUCGCACCAUAUCUAGUAAAGUAUGAUUAUGACGUUCGGAUACACCAUUAAGAUGUGGUUUUCCGGGUGGCGUGAGUUGCGAAACUAUUCCGCAUUGUUUCAAAUGAAGACCAAACUCGUAACUCAAAUAUUCUCCUCCACGAUCAGAUCAUAGAAACUUUAUUUUCUUGUUAUGAUGAUUUCCACUUCACUCUGAAAUUCUUUGAACUUUUCAAAUGUUUCAGACUUAUGUUUCAUUAAGUAUGAUUUCUAAUAACUUUGUUGCUCGCUCCAUUGUUCUGGAGAACAGAGUUUUAGUCAUCUUACCUAUGAGGCAUCGUUCGCAAGUACCAAGUGAUUUAUAAUCAAGUGAUUCCAUAAGUCCAUCAGAAUGGAGUUUCUUUAUGCGCUUUACACCAAUAUGACCCAAACGACAGUGCCCCAAAUAAGUUGCACUAUCAUUAUCAACUCUGCAUCUUUUGGAUUCAAUACUAUGAUCAUGUGUAUCACUACUAUCAAGAUUUAGUAAAAAUAGACCACUCAUCAAGGGUGCAUGACCAUAAAAGAAAUUACUCAUAUAAAUAGAACAACCAUUAUUCUCUGAUUUCAAUGAAUAACCGUCUCACAUCAAACAAGAUCCAGAUAUAAUAUUCAUGCUCAACGCUAGCACCAAAUAACAAUUAUUUUGGUCUAAAACUAAUCCCAAAGGUAGAUGUAGAGGUAGCAUGCUGACGGCGAUCACAUCGACUAUGGAACGAUUUCCCAUGCGCAUCGUCACCUCGUCCUUAGCCAAUCUUCGCUUAAUCCGUAGCCCCUGUUUCAAGUUGCAAAUAUUAGCAAUAGAACUAGUAUCAAAUACCCAGGCGCUACUGCGAGCAUUAGUAAGGUACAUAUCAAUAACAUGUAAACCUUUCACUUUUCCAUCCUUCUUUUCCGCCAAAUACUUGGGGCAGUUCCGCUUCCAGUGACCAGUCCCUUUGCAGUAGAAGCACUCAUUUUCAGGCUUAGGUCCAGACUUGGGCUUCUUCACUUGAGCAGCAACUGGCUUGCUGUGCUUCUUGAAGUUCCCCUUCCUCCCUUUACCCUUUUUCUUGAAACUGGUGGUCUUAUUGACCAUCAAACAAUUGCUUGGCUUGUCAUCGGGGUUGUGCAUGAUUUAAAUAUUUUGUGUGAUGAAGAUAGAGCAUAGCCAGACUAUAUGAUUUUGUAGGGACAACUUUCUUUGGCCAUGUUAUUUUGAGAAGACUCUUUUUGAUUAAUUUCUCAUUAUUUUACGUGAUAAUAAUGAUUUAUUUUUCUGUGUCGUGGCGAUAAAAUGAUUUUAGCGACACAAUGAAAAAAGAUGCUAAAUCAAAAAGUAUCAAUAGCUUAUUAUUAAUUUACUUGUAUGAACUGAAUCAGGUUUCACACAAACAAUAUAAGCAUUCACCUUCACGCAAUAUUUCUAGUACAUAUAUAAACUCAUUUCAUGGUACUUCUCAGUUCUUUCUGCAGCAGCAUGUGCUACUACUGCCUUCAACACAACUGCUCUUAUCCUUGUCAUAACCUCGGUUAACACAGUUAGCUUUGCACGCAAUGUUGCCACUAGCUCGGUCUGGUGGCGAACAAUAGUCCACAGUUGUACA